UGGCGACCGGCGCACGGGUGCGUAACGCGUAUGCAACCUACCUUUAACAGGGGGAUAACACUGAGAAAUUGGUACUAAUACCCCAUAAUAUCAUAGAAGGCAUCUUUUAUGGUUGAAAAUUCCGAUGGUUAGAGAUGGGCAUGCGUUGUAUUAGCUAGUUGGUGAGGUAACGGCUCACCAAGGCAACGAUACAUAGGGGGACUGAGAGGUUAACCCCCCACAUUGGUACUGAGACACGGACCAA
RNAcentral lists this ribosomal RNA (244 nucleotides) under uncultured bacterium. RNAcentral's name for it is "partial 16S ribosomal RNA". It matches the Rfam family "Bacterial small subunit ribosomal RNA", at positions 89 to 334 of the family's 1533-position model. The record is from RNAcentral.